AUACUGCAGUCGAGCGAACAGAUAAGGAGCUUGCUCCUUUGACGUUAGCGGCGGACGGGUGAGUAACACGUGGGUAACCUACCUAUAAGACUGGGAUAACUUCGGGAAACCGGAGCUAAUACCGGAUAACAUUUGGAACCGCAUGGUUCUAAAGUGAAAGAUGGUUUUGCUAUCACUUAUAGAUGGACCCGCGCCGUAUUAGCUAGUUGGUAAGGUAACGGCUUACCAAGGCGACGAUACGUAACCGACCUGAGAGGGUGAUCGGCCACACUGGAACUGAGACACGGUCCAGACUCCUACGGGAGGCAGCAGUAGGGAAUCUUCCGCAAUGGGCGAAAGCCUGACGGAGCAACGCCGCGUGAGUGAUGAAGGGUUUCGGCUCGUAAAACUCUGUUAUUAGGGAAGAACAAAUGUGUAAGUAACUGUGCACAUCUUGACGGUACCUAAUCAGAAAGCCACGGCUAACUACGUGCCAGCAGCCGCGGUAAUACGUAGGUGGCAAGCGUUAUCCGGAAUUAUUGGGCGUAAAGCGCGCGUAGGCGGUUUCUUAAGUCUGAUGUGAAAGCCCACGGCUCAACCGUGGAGGGUCAUUGGAAACUGGGAAACUUGAGUGCAGAAGAGGAAAGUGGAAUUCCAUGUGUAGCGGUGAAAUGCGCAGAGAUAUGGAGGAACACCAGUGGCGAAGGCGACUUUCUGGUCUGUAACUGACGCUGAUGUGCGAAAGCGUGGGGAUCAAACAGGAUUAGAUACCCUGGUAGUCCACGCCGUAAACGAUGAGUGCU
This 782-nucleotide ribosomal RNA is filed under the name Staphylococcus saprophyticus. Its description in RNAcentral is "bacterial SSU rRNA". It matches the Rfam family "Bacterial small subunit ribosomal RNA", at positions 51 to 817 of the family's 1533-position model. Lineage: Bacteria; Bacillati; Bacillota; Bacilli; Caryophanales; Staphylococcaceae. The record is from RNAcentral.